CUGAGGCAUAAAUCUCCAGAAAUAAAGCAAAGGAUUUGUUAGAAAGAUUUGAUCCUGAGCAAUGAAGCAACAACCUCAGUGACAAGGACUAACAGGGAUGUGCCUUUACCUUCUGUUCUUGGAGAGAUUGAAAAUGAUUUUCAGCCACCAAAAGCUAUGUUUUAAUAAAAUAUAAGUUAAAAUAGUUAACUUUUCUAAUAAGGAAAGCCUAAAGAGAGUAGAUUGAUCAUCAUUGAAAUGAAUGAAGCAAUGAAAUAAUUCCUCCCUGCCCAACAGGUCCCUGCUGGGAGUGCUGAGGCUGCAGGUAAAGGGCAAAGCUCUGGAUUCAAGAGGUCUGGAUAAGUGGAUGGAUGUGGAAAACUGCUAGUUUUGACAGAAGAAAUUGCUGAAUAUAUUAAAUAACAACGUGAGAAACCAAUAAAUCUGCAGGUAGUGCUGUGAGGAGUGGCCAGGUUGGCUGGAUGCCUGGAUGGGAACACCAGGAGCCUUUUGGGGAUCCGAGUGUAUCCAGGACAGCAGCAGCACCUGGGGAACUAAAUCAGCAAUGCUGGCAAAAAAUGAGACUGAAAAUAUCAGAAAUAGCAAAUAACCAUACAGAAACCGGCAAGUUUUGGGAUGGACACAGCAAAAUUGUGAUCACUGGAAAAAACAAGCACUCACCAAACCAAGCAGACAUUAGGAGCAAGCCGUGGGAUGAUCCGACCAGGUCUGCAGGAUAAAAAUGACUUAACAAGUGUUGAAAGCCAGAAAAACCAUCAUGGUCAAUGAGUGCGACCUCCUGGACACACAGACAAAAGCAUUUUAGCCAAUGUUCUGCACCAAACACUUCUUUGCAUGACCACCUUAAAUGCAGAAGCAUUGCAAACACCUUCAGAACUGACACACCUGAAGGUCUUCAUCCCUUAAGAGGAUGCCAGUGUAGGAGAGAGGCACUGUAACACUUUUGCUGAGACAGGAGCUUAUUUAUUGACCACAAAAGGAAAGAGGAGCCAGCAGCAACAAUUGAGGACCUCAGAGAAAAGCCUCUUCUUGUCCAGCCACCCUUGUUCUCCCCACAGAGCUCACAACCUGUGAUUAAAUAUUUCCAAAUGGAAUGCCAUAAAAAAUUCACAUCAGACUGAAAAUGGGUGCAAGAGUGACCCAGGCUCAAAUAAUAUUUUAUGCAUCAUAUCUUAAAAAUCCCUUGGUGGUGAAGAGUGACACAACAUACCCUGUAAGUCCCAGGUUCAGGAGAAACUUGGAAGCGUUUCUAACAUUUUGCCAGUUGAACAGAUGAAUAAAGAGCUGAACACUUGGACCCA
This 1301-nucleotide long non-coding RNA is filed under the name Zonotrichia albicollis (white-throated sparrow). RNAcentral's name for it is "lncRNA (ENSZALG00000012498.1)". Lineage: Eukaryota; Metazoa; Chordata; Aves; Passeriformes; Passerellidae. The record is from RNAcentral.